Molecule: non-coding RNA, 73 nt
Organism: Sander lucioperca (pikeperch)
Lineage: Eukaryota; Metazoa; Chordata; Actinopteri; Perciformes; Percidae
Source: the annotation of a RefSeq genome assembly
GGCACUGUGGCUUAGUGGUUAAAGUGCCUGCCUUCUAAACAGGAAAUCCUGGAUUCAAAUCCCGGCAGUGCCU